GAUCAUGGCUCAGGACGAACGCUGGCGGCGCGCCUAACACAUGCAAGUCGAACGAGAGAGAGGAAGCUUGCUUCCUCAAUCGAGUGGCGAACGGGUGAGUAACGCGUGAGGAACCUGCCUCAAAGAGGGGGACAGCAGUUGGAAACGACUGCUAAUACCGCAUAAGCCCACAGGUCGGCAUCGACCAGAGGGAAAAGGAGCAAUCCGCUUUGAGAUGGCCUCGCGUCCGAUUAG
RNAcentral lists this ribosomal RNA (234 nucleotides) under uncultured bacterium. RNAcentral's name for it is "partial 16S ribosomal RNA". It matches the Rfam family "Bacterial small subunit ribosomal RNA", at positions 15 to 244 of the family's 1533-position model. The record is from RNAcentral.